Molecule: ribosomal RNA, 460 nt
Filed under: uncultured bacterium
Lineage: Bacteria
Description: partial 16S ribosomal RNA
Rfam family: Bacterial small subunit ribosomal RNA
Source: RNAcentral
CCUACGGGUGGCAGCAGUGAGGAAUAUUGGUCAAUGGACGAAAGUCUGAACCAGCCACGCCGCGUGAAGGAUGACGGCUCUAUGUGUUGUAAACUUCUUUUGUAGGGGAGUAAAAGCUGCCACGUGUGUCAGCUUGUAUGUAUCAUACGAAUAAGGAUCGGCUAACUCCGUGCCAGCAGCCGCGGUAAUACGGAGGAUCCGAGCGUUAUCCGGAUUUAUUGGGUUUAAAGGGUGCGUAGGGGGAUGUUUAAGUUAGAGGGGAAAGUUUGCGGCUCAACUGCGAAAUUGCAGUGGAAACUGUACGUCUAGAGUACAGGAGAGGUAGGCGGAAUGCGUGGUGUAGCGGUGAAAUGCGUAGAUAUCAUGAAGAACUCCGAUUGCGAAGGCAGCUUACUGGACCGUAACUGACGCUGAGGCUCGAAAGCGUGGGGAGCAAACAGGAUUAGAUACCCGUGUAGUC